This 253-nucleotide ribosomal RNA is filed under the name uncultured bacterium. RNAcentral describes it as "partial 16S ribosomal RNA". It matches the Rfam family "Bacterial small subunit ribosomal RNA", at positions 524 to 776 of the family's 1533-position model. The record is from RNAcentral.
UACGUAGGGUGCAAGCGUUGUCCGGAAUUAUUGGGCGUAAAGAGCUCGUAGGCGGUCUGUCGCGUCUGCUGUGAAAACUCGGGGCUUAACCCCGGGCCUGCAGUGGGUACGGGCAGACUAGAGUGCGGUAGGGGAGACUGGAAUUCCUGGUGUAGCGGUGAAAUGCGCAGAUAUCAGGAGGAACACCGGUGGCGAGGGCGGGUCUCUGGGCAACAACUGACGCUGAGGAGCGAAAGCGUGGGGAGCGAACAGG